UUAAGCGUGUAGGCUGGUUUUCCAGGCAAAUCCGGAAAAUCAAGGCUGAGGCGUGAUGACGAGGCACUACGGUGCUGAAGCAACAAAUGCCCUGCUUCCAGGAAAAGCCUCUAAGCAUCAGGUAACAUCAAAUCGUACCCCAAACCGACACAGGUGGUCAGGUAGAGAAUACCAAGGCGCUUGAGAGAACUCGGGUGAAGGAACUAGGCAAAAUGGUGCCGUAACUUCGGGAGAAGGCACGCUGAUAUGUAGGUGAAGUCCCUCGCGGAUGGAGCUGAAAUCAGUCGAAGAUACCAGCUGGCUGCAACUGUUUAUUAAAAACACAGCACUGUGCAAACACGAAAGUGGACGUAUACGGUGUGACGCCUGCCCGGUGCCGGAAGGUUAAUUGAUGGGGUUAGCGGUAACGCGAAGCUCUUGAUCGAAGCCCCGGUAAACGGCGGCCGUAACUAUAACGGUCCUAAGGUAGCGAAAUUCCUUGUCGGGUAAGUUCCGACCUGCACGAAUGGCGUAAUGAUGGCCAGGCUGUCUCCACCCGAGACUCAGUGAAAUUGAACUCGCUGUGAAGAUGCAGUGUACCCGCGGCAAGACGGAAAGACCCCGUGAACCUUUACUAUAGCUUGACACUGAACAUUGAGCCUUGAUGUGUAGGAUAGGUGGGAGGCUUAGAAGUGUGGACGCCAGUCUGCAUGGAGCCGACCUUGAAAUACCACCCUUUAAUGUUUGAUGUUCUAACGUUGACCCGUAAUCCGGGUUGCGGACAGUGUCUGGUGGGUAGUUUGACUGGGGCGGUCUCCUCCUAAAGAGUAACGGAGGAGCACGAAGGUUGGCUAAUCCUGGUCGGACAUCAGGAGGUUAGUGCAAUGGCAUAAGCCAGCUUGACUGCGAGCGUGACGGCGCGAGCAGGUGCGAAAGCAGGUCAUAGUGAUCCGGUGGUUCUGAAUGGAAGGGCCAUCGCUCAACGGAUAAAAGGUACUCCGGGGAUAACAGGCUGAUACCGCCCAAGAGUUCAUAUCGACGGCGGUGUUUGGCACCUCGAUGUCGGCUCAUCACAUCCUGGGGCUGAAGUAGGUCCCAAGGGUAUGGCUGUUCGCCAUUUAAAGUGGUACGCGAGCUGGGUUUAGAACGUCGUGAGACAGUUCGGUCCCUAUCUGCCGUGGGCGCUGGAGAACUGAGGGGGGCUGCUCCUAGUACGAGAGGACCGGAGUGGACGCAUCACUGGUGUU
RNAcentral lists this ribosomal RNA (1226 nucleotides) under Escherichia coli. RNAcentral describes it as "partial 23S ribosomal RNA". It matches the Rfam family "Bacterial large subunit ribosomal RNA", at positions 1512 to 2716 of the family's 2925-position model. Lineage: Bacteria; Pseudomonadati; Pseudomonadota; Gammaproteobacteria; Enterobacterales; Enterobacteriaceae. The record is from RNAcentral.